CAGCCGGGACCGCGGGUGCUGAGGGGGAAGAGGACGGAAGUCAGCCGCGGGGCACGCGGGGAACACUAACCCGAGAGGAAUAGGAAGGCAAUUCAAAUGAAUGGAGGAAAUGGCAGGAACAGCUGUCCUAGUCAGUGUGGAGUGGUGUUGCGCUGUGGUUUUGACUUGGAUUCCCCAAUGACUUUCUGUCGAUGGAACAAAUAUCUAAGCUUCUCCAACCUGUUGGAAUCACUCAGGAAGGAUGUGAAAACUGCAGAUUUCAAAACUCCACUUCAAGACUCCUGAGAUCACUGGGACAACCCUGGGGAUCCCAUUUUACGGUUUCCUCUGAGGCGAGUCUGACAGUUCUGAGGCUAAGUGUGCUUCCUUCAGCCCCGUGAGCUACUGAAAUUUGGCACUUUUGUUUGGCCUCUUGAAAGAAGGAACUGGAGACAAGGCAGCAGGCACAGUUAACAUCAUUUGCAAACAUAAACUCAAAGUCAGCCAACACAGAAUCAAGGUUGAAUCAAGUAGGACUAGCAGCAUAGCUACUGGGAAAAUGUCCUUCCCUCUGUGCUGUUUGCAGAAUACUGAUGGGUUGGUGAAUUAUUUCUCACUCGGCGCCACCACCGAACUAUAAAUAACAGCCUAAUCCUGACGUCUUUACUCAUUGAGACCCUUGGAAAACAGGACAUCUGGCUCAUUCCCAUUCUCUCAAUCCCUUCCGUUCUCGUCUUUGGCUAAACCUUUGACAACCAAUUUAGUCCUGAAGUCCUUAAGCCAGGCUGCUCCACUUACAACGAUGUUGCUCUGAAACCCUAUCUUCUGUCACAGAGAGCUCUACACAAUACUCUCCGGGAUGCAACUGAUGAAUGAACCUCAGUUUGCAAAUCUCAGCUCACACAGUUGACUUACUUUGACCAUUUUGCUCUUGGGAAGAUGUUUCUUCGUUAUUUGACCUUGAUCUGUAACUUUCUAAAGUGUGUUCUGAAAUUUCAUUUUCUGAAAGAAAAGAAGAUUAAGACACUGAUUUCUGAUGCCACAGAUGCCACCUAUAUGUUGAAAUGUAAGUUUGAAUAAGAAGACCUCAGUUACAGUAUACAGCUGAUCAGCCCCUCCUGUACCUCCUGUCUGCAUUAAUUCAACACAUUACUAGGAUCUCUGCAGCUACCAUCAAGGCACUAUAAGAGCCGUGGAAGGGAAAUGACAACAAAAGAGAAGCAAGUAUUGUCUUACAGGAAGGGACAACUGAAAUAGCCCCCAAAGAAUGAUGGGGGUGAAUCAUCAGUGAGAGGUUUUGAAACAAUAUUAUGGUGUUUGCCUAUUGUGCAGACCACGUGAGCCUUCCGCAGCUUCAUUAUGAAGAGCUGGACUAUGAUGAAGAGGAUGAAGAUGAGGAAGGAUACAAGCGUGAGCAGCAGGAUGCCACUUUUCUUCCUUGCCAACCCUAUGUACUGAGGAUUCGCUUCUCAUCAACAAUGGUCCAAGUGCUUGCUAACCAAGUGAAUGACCUGCCCUCAAAGGUGAUUUUGUUAUUCAGCGACAGCACCAAAUUCCCAGCUUCUCCUAUCUUGGAUCACUGAUAUCAAGUCUUUGUUUUGUGUUUGCUCUGUUCUGGAUGGGAAAACAAAGAACAAGCUUCCUCAUGAAUGGAUUCAACUUUGUCCUUUGGCACAGAGUCACCAUCCCUGUGUGUGUGUGUGUGUGUGUGUGUGUGUGUGUGUGUGUACACGCGUGCACAUGUAUCUUGAGCAGAACAGUGCAGAACAGCACUGAGAUGACAAGGCAUUAUGUUACUCUGGAUCCCAUCCACUAAAUACGCUCUACUUACGAGGCCCUGUUCCAGCACUCCACAAAACUAGUGCUACUUGAAUGGUCUUAUUUGAAAUUAAAAUUUAAAAAUUCUGAAAAACAACAUUAGAAAUGGAAUCUUCCCAAGUGGACAUGGU
Chinchilla lanigera (long-tailed chinchilla) is the source of this 1928-nucleotide long non-coding RNA. RefSeq lists it as uncharacterized. The transcript is spliced from 7 exons. The record is from RefSeq and is a predicted model, not a curated record. Lineage: Eukaryota; Metazoa; Chordata; Mammalia; Rodentia; Chinchillidae.